CCCCGUGUUAGGAUUCUAUAUAUGUUAUUUUUUAAUGUCAAUUUAUGUGAUAUAAAUAGAAUUUAGAUAAUUAUAUUUUUAAUGUGUUUUAAAUAUUUUAAGUUUUUCACUGUUGUAAUUUAUAAUAUCUUUUAUGUAAUUUUCAAAUUAUACAUGUUACUCUCCCUGUUCAAACUUUUGUGGAAUUGAUAGUCAUUUAUAUUUAAAAUAAUUUAAGUUUUAAAUUAUUG
This 230-nucleotide long non-coding RNA is filed under the name Capsicum annuum. Its description in RNAcentral is "long non-coding RNA (CANN_LNC019716)". The record is from RNAcentral. Lineage: Eukaryota; Viridiplantae; Streptophyta; Magnoliopsida; Solanales; Solanaceae.